AUUGAACGCUGGCGGCAUGCUUUACACAUGCAAGUCGAACGGUAACAGGUCUUCGGAUGCUGGCGAGUGGCGAACGGGUGAGUAAAGUAUCGGAACGUGCCCAGUCGUGGGGGAUAACGUAGCGAAAGUUACGCUAAUACCGCAUACGAUCUAUGGAUGAAAGCGGGGGAUCGCAAGACCUCGCGCGAUUGGAGCGGCCGAUAUCAGAUUAGGUAGUUGGUGGGUAAAGGCUCACCAAGCCGACGAUCUGUAGCUGGUCUGAGAGGACGACCAGCCACACUGGGACUGAGACACGGCCCAGACUCCUACGGGAGGCAGCAGUGGGGAAUUUUGGACAAUGGGCGAAAGCCUGAUCCAGCCAUGCCGCGUGCAGGAUGAAGGCCUUCGGGUUGUAAACUGCUUUUGUACGGAACGAAAAGGUUUGGGCUAAUAAGCUGAGCUCAUGACGGUACCGUAAGAAUAAGCACCGGCUAACUACGUGCCAGCUGCCGCAGUAA
Molecule: ribosomal RNA, 497 nt
Filed under: uncultured bacterium
Lineage: Bacteria
Description: partial 16S ribosomal RNA
Rfam family: Bacterial small subunit ribosomal RNA
Source: RNAcentral